GAUGAAGAACGCAGCGAAAUGCGAUACGUAAUGUGAAUUGCAGAAUUCAGUGAAUCAUCGAAUCUUUGAACGCAUAUUGCGCUCUCUGGUAUUCCGUAGAGCAUGCUUGUUUGAGUAUCAGUAAACACCUCAACUCCCUUUUCUUUUUUGAAAUUGGAGCUGGACUUGAGUGAUCCCAACGCUUUCUUCCAAGAAAGUGGCGGGUUGCUUGAAAUGCAGGUGCAGCUGAACUUUUCUCUGAGCUAUAAGCAUAUCUAUUUAGUCUGCCUAAAAAACAGAUUAUUACCUUUGCUGCAGCUAACAUAAAGGAGACUAGUUCUUGUGCUGACUGAUGCAGGAUUCACAGAGACAGCUUCGGCUGACUUUGUAAACUCGAUCUCAAAUCAAGUAAGACUACCCGCUGAACUUAAGCAUAUCAAUAAGCGGAGGA
RNAcentral lists this unclassified non-coding RNA (430 nucleotides) under soil metagenome. RNAcentral's name for it is "partial contains 5.8S ribosomal RNA, internal transcribed spacer 2, and large subunit ribosomal RNA". The stretch from base 1 to 120 matches the Rfam family "5.8S ribosomal RNA", at positions 35 to 154 of the family's 154-position model. The record is from RNAcentral.